AGCGUCCCCGUUAAGAGGGCGUCCCACGUGCAAAUCCCUCGGCGCAAGCGAUAUCUCUGCCUCGCGUGUGGGGAGCCCUGCCCCGGCCCCGGGGCCUGGGAACAACGGCCCGUUAAAGUGAUCGCCCCCGUCUGUGACCAUCAGGUCUUGCCUCAUUAACUGCUGAUUGAAGCUCUGCUUGGCCCUCUGGGAUACCUAACACCCCAGGCCUAUCACCAGAUGAACCCCUGGUUAGGCGCUUUUGCCUUCGCCUGUGUUGCUUUGCACAGCUCCUUGACCUCAACCUUCUUACGAAUGUUUAUCCUUCUACCAGACAAACAAGUUCAUUCCCUGAAGUAAAACUAUCUGGGCAAAUGGAGCUGAUUUCACCUCUUGGAUCCUGUAUCAGUAUGUACAGUCAGUCGGGGAGCAGGGACAAUUUCAGUGAGAGGUGCGUGACCCCCCAAAAAGGUGAAGAAUCAAAGCAACAGAGCUAG
This 476-nucleotide long non-coding RNA is filed under the name Canis lupus familiaris (dog). RNAcentral's name for it is "lncRNA (ENSCAFG00000058052.1)". The record is from RNAcentral. Lineage: Eukaryota; Metazoa; Chordata; Mammalia; Carnivora; Canidae.